CUUUAACGUAAUCAAACACAAAUCUCAUUUUGUCAGCUUCCGUGUUCAGCUCGGGUUGUGUUGCCUCUCCUCCACCUCCGACGGUGAGCCCGAGCAGGAGCAAAAGCCAGAAUCCGGCGACCGGCGGCAAGGGUAAAUAUUAUCCUAGGAGCUUCAGAAGAAAGAGUGAUGCUUUCUGGGAUGCAUACUGUGGCAGAUAUAUUUUGCUGCAGCUGUGGACAGAUAUAAAACCUGACAUUGACUUGGUAGUUCUAAUUGGAAAAUAAAUGCCCAUUACUGAUGGGUUUAGAUUCUAAUGCGUAUUUGGGGGAAAAAACUACCUCCCUCAAUUCUGUGCUUGUCUUUGGAACUCCGUCCCUUCUCUACUUCUCUUCUCCGAGUUCUCUCCCAUUACUCGAUCACCAUGGCAAAUUUCUCCACCACUGUUAUCUACACUCUGCACCAGAUUUCUAUCGCCACCAACACCACUAAUCUCUCUCAUAUAUUUUUAGUCAUUUAAAAUGAAACCAGAAUUCUACAAAAAUCCAAUACAUCCGUCAACAAUCAUCCUGCUCUUUCAAGUUCUUUCCGUCAUCACUGUCAGCUUUGUGUUUGACUCCGGCAUUCUAUUUAUUUAUCACAAAACCGCAAACAAUCAAGCUGUCUUGAGCAGCCUUCUAAUAGAUACACUUUCAUUAUCCAAGAUAGUUCUAUGUGGCAACCUCUAUCUCUCAUCUGCUUAAAUUUUUGGCUGAAAGAAGAAAACUACAAAAUAUUUGCUUAAGAAAGCAAGGGGCCUUGAAGCUUUGCAGUUUGAUAUACAGCAGCGAGUACUUAAGCUCACUGCAAACAGGUGCGGAGUUCCAGGCUAAUGAUUUGGGAUUAAAGGUUGAGAACACAUCUAUCGAACAACUUGGUUUGGCAAGGAAGGUGACAAUCACCAAGGAUAACACCACCAUCAUUGCUGAUGCCGCAUCCAAAGAUGAACUUCAGGCUAGAAUUGCGCAGCUUAAGAAAGAAUUGUUUGCAACCGACUCUGUUUAUGAUUCUGAGAAGCUUGCUAAAAGAGUUGCCAAACUUUCUGGAGGAUUUUCUGUUAUAAAGGUUGGUGCAGCCACAGAAACUGAGCUUGAAGACCGUAAACUGCGAAUUGAGGAUUGACAGGCUAAAUCGCACUCCUAUCAAAGAUAAACCUAACGUUCACCAACUACAAAUAUAGCAAGGGAAGCAGGGAUCAUAUCCACAGGGAAACAAUGUUCUUUCUACUAUUAAUCGGCAAUUAUAGACUAUUGGGAAACAAAAAUAUGGAUUGAUUUGUAUAAUAUAACUAGCUAGGACGAUAAUAAAAUAGGGAAAAAUCAGAUA
Molecule: long non-coding RNA, 1344 nt
Organism: Spinacia oleracea (spinach)
Lineage: Eukaryota; Viridiplantae; Streptophyta; Magnoliopsida; Caryophyllales; Amaranthaceae
Exons: 6
Source: RefSeq, a predicted model, not a curated record